RNAcentral lists this ribosomal RNA (467 nucleotides) under uncultured bacterium. Its description in RNAcentral is "partial 16S ribosomal RNA". It matches the Rfam family "Bacterial small subunit ribosomal RNA", at positions 28 to 506 of the family's 1533-position model. The record is from RNAcentral.
GACGAACGCUGGCGGCGUGCUUAACACAUGCAAGUCGAACGGAAAGGCCCUGCUUUUGUGGGGUGCUCGAGUGGCGAACGGGUGAGUAACACGUGAGUAACCUGCCCUUGACUUUGGGAUAACUUCAGGAAACUGGGGCUAAUACCGGAUAGGAGCUCCUGCUGCAUGGUGGGGGUUGGAAAGUUUCGGCGGUUGGGGAUGGACUCGCGGCUUAUCAGCUUGUUGGUGGGGUAGUGGCUUACCAAGGCUUUGACGGGUAGCCGGCCUGCGAGGGUGACCGGCCGCCUUGGGACUGAGAUACGGCCCAGACUCCUACGGGAGGCAGGAGUGGGGAAUAUCGCACAAUGGGCGGAAGCCUGAUGCAGCAACGCCGCGUGCGGGAUGACGGCCUUCGGGUUGUAAACCGCUUUCGCCUGUGACGAAGCGUGAGUGACGGAAAUGGGUAAAGAAGCACCGGCUAAAUACGU